CCCGCUGAACUUAAGCAUAUCAAUAAGCGGAGGAAAAGAAACUAACAAGGAUUCCCCUAGUAACUGCGAGUGAAGCGGGAAAAGCUCAAAUUUAAAAUCUGGUGGUCUUUGGCCAUCCGAGUUGUAAUUUAGAGAAGCGUCUUCCGCGCUGGACCAUGCACAAGUCUCCUGGAAUGGAGCGUCAUAGAGGGUGAGAAUCCCGUCUUUGGCAUGGACACACCAGGGCUUCUGUGAUGCGCUCUCGAAGAGUCGAGUUGUUUGGGAAUGCAGCUCAAAAUGGGUGGUGAACUCCAUCUAAAGCUAAAUAUUGGCGAGAGACCGAUAGCGAACAAGUACCGUGAGGGAAAGAUGAAAAGCACUUUGGAAAGAGAGUGAAACAGUACGUGAAAUUGUUGAAAGGGAAACGCUUGAAGUCAGUCGCGUCGGCCGAGACUCAGCCUUGCCUCGGCUUGGUGUAUUUCUUGGCCCGACGGGUCAGCAUCAAUUUUGCCCCUUGGAUAAUGGCUAGGGAAAUGUGACACCUUUAUAGGUGCGUUAUAGUCUCUCGUCGCAUGCAAGGGUCAGGAUUGAGGAACUCAGCAUGCACCUUCGGGUGUCGGGGCUUUUGUCCACGAUACAUGCUUAGGAUGUUGGCGUAAUGGCUUUAAACGACCCGUCUUGAAACACGG
This 668-nucleotide ribosomal RNA is filed under the name uncultured fungus. Its description in RNAcentral is "eukaryotic LSU rRNA". It matches the Rfam family "Eukaryotic large subunit ribosomal RNA", at positions 24 to 664 of the family's 3401-position model. Lineage: Eukaryota; Fungi. The record is from RNAcentral.